This 2989-nucleotide ribosomal RNA is filed under the name Salmonella enterica. Its description in RNAcentral is "bacterial LSU rRNA". It matches the Rfam family "Bacterial large subunit ribosomal RNA". The record is from RNAcentral. Lineage: Bacteria; Pseudomonadati; Pseudomonadota; Gammaproteobacteria; Enterobacterales; Enterobacteriaceae.
UUAAGCGACUAAGCGUACACGGUGGAUGCCCUGGCAGUCAGAGGCGAUGAAGGGCGUGCUAAUCUGCGAUAAGCGCCGGUAAGGUGAUAUGAACCGUUAUAACCGGCGAUACCCGAAUGGGGAAACCCAGUGUGAUUCGUCACACUAUCAUUAACUGAAUCCAUAGGUUAAUGAGGCGAACCGGGGGAACUGAAACAUCUAAGUACCCCGAGGAAAAGAAAUCAACCGAGAUUCCCCCAGUAGCGGCGAGCGAACGGGGAGGAGCCCAGAGCCUGAAUCAGCAUGUGUGUUAGUGGAAGCGUCUGGAAAGGCGCGCGAUACAGGGUGACAGCCCCGUACACAAAAGCGCAUGUGCUGUGAGCUCGAUGAGUAGGGCGGGACACGUGGUAUCCUGUCUGAAUAUGGGGGGACCAUCCUCCAAGGCUAAAUACUCCUGACUGACCGAUAGUGAACCAGUACCGUGAGGGAAAGGCGAAAAGAACCCCGGCGAGGGGAGUGAAAAAGAACCUGAAACCGUGUACGUACAAGCAGUGGGAGCACAGGUUUACCUGUGUGACUGCGUACCUUUUGUAUAAUGGGUCAGCGACUUAUAUUCUGUAGCAAGGUUAACCGAAUAGGGGAGCCGGAGGGAAACCGAGUCUUAAUUGGGCGUUAAGUUGCAGGGUAUAGACCCGAAACCCGGUGAUCUAGCCAUGGGCAGGUUGAAGGUUGGGUAACACUAACUGGAGGACCGAACCGACUAAUGUUGAAAAAUUAGCGGAUGACCUGUGGCUGGGGGUGAAAGGCCAAUCAAACCGGGAGAUAGCUGGUUCUCCCCGAAAGCUAUUUAGGUAGCGCCUCGUGAAUUCAUCUCCGGGGGUAGAGCACUGUUUCGGCUAGGGGGCCAUCCCGGCUUACCAACCCGAUGCAAACUGCGAAUACCGGAGAAUGUUAUCACGGGAGACACACGGCGGGUGCUAACGUCCGUCGUGAAGAGGGAAACAACCCAGACCGCCAGCUAAGGUCCCAAAGUCAUGGUUAAGUGGGAAACGAUGUGGGAAGGCCCAGACAGCCAGGAUGUUGGCUUAGAAGCAGCCAUCAUUUAAAGAAAGCGUAAUAGCUCACUGGUCGAGUCGGCCUGCGCGGAAGAUGUAACGGGGCUAAACCAUGCACCGAAGCUGCGGCAGCGAACGUAUCACCCAAGACAACUUUACGGAGUUGACGAUUGACGGAGCGAAGCGACGUCAAAGCGUUCAUUAAAGUCGAGUUGGCUUAGGGAUACGUUCGUUGGGUAGGGGAGCGUUCUGUAAGCCUGCGAAGGUGGCCUGUGAGGGUUGCUGGAGGUAUCAGAAGUGCGAAUGCUGACAUAAGUAACGAUAAAGCGGGUGAAAAGCCCGCUCGCCGGAAGACCAAGGGUUCCUGUCCAACGUUAAUCGGGGCAGGGUGAGUCGACCCCUAAGGCGAGGCCGAAAGGCGUAGUCGAUGGGAAACGGGUUAAUAUUCCCGUACUUGGUGUUACUGCGAAGGGGGACGGAGAAGGCUAUGUUGGCCGGGCGACGGUUGUCCCGGUUUAAGCGUGUAGGUGUGUGUUCCAGGUAAAUCCGGUUCACUUUAACACUGAGGCGUGACGACGAGGCACUACGGUGCUGAAGCAACAAAUGCCCUGCUUCCAGGAAAAGCCUCUAAGCAUCAGGUAACAUCAAAUCGUACCCCAAACCGACACAGGUGGUCAGGUAGAGAAUACCAAGGCGCUUGAGAGAACUCGGGUGAAGGAACUAGGCAAAAUGGUGCCGUAACUUCGGGAGAAGGCACGCUGACACGUAGGUGAAGUGAUUUACUCAUGGAGCUGAAGUCAGUCGAAGAUACCAGCUGGCUGCAACUGUUUAUUAAAAACACAGCACUGUGCAAACACGAAAGUGGACGUAUACGGUGUGACGCCUGCCCGGUGCCGGAAGGUUAAUUGAUGGGGUCAGCGCAAGCGAAGCUCCUGAUCGAAGCCCCGGUAAACGGCGGCCGUAACUAUAACGGUCCUAAGGUAGCGAAAUUCCUUGUCGGGUAAGUUCCGACCUGCACGAAUGGCGUAAUGAUGGCCAGGCUGUCUCCACCCGAGACUCAGUGAAAUUGAACUCGCUGUGAAGAUGCAGUGUACCCGCGGCAAGACGGAAAGACCCCGUGAACCUUUACUAUAGCUUGACACUGAACAUUGAGCCUUGAUGUGUAGGAUAGGUGGGAGGCUUUGAAGUGUGGACGCCAGUCUGCAUGGAGCCGACCUUGAAAUACCACCCUUUAAUGUUUGAUGUUCUAACGUGGACCCGUAAUCCGGGUUGCGGACAGUGUCUGGUGGGUAGUUUGACUGGGGCGGUCUCCUCCUAAAGAGUAACGGAGGAGCACGAAGGUUGGCUAAUCCUGGUCGGACAUCAGGAGGUUAGUGCAAUGGCAUAAGCCAGCUUGACUGCGAGCGUGACGGCGCGAGCAGGUGCGAAAGCAGGUCAUAGUGAUCCGGUGGUUCUGAAUGGAAGGGCCAUCGCUCAACGGAUAAAAGGUACUCCGGGGAUAACAGGCUGAUACCGCCCAAGAGUUCAUAUCGACGGCGGUGUUUGGCACCUCGAUGUCGGCUCAUCACAUCCUGGGGCUGAAGUAGGUCCCAAGGGUAUGGCUGUUCGCCAUUUAAAGUGGUACGCGAGCUGGGUUUAGAACGUCGUGAGACAGUUCGGUCCCUAUCUGCCGUGGGCGCUGGAGAACUGAGGGGGGCUGCUCCUAGUACGAGAGGACCGGAGUGGACGCAUCACUGGUGUUCGGGUUGUCAUGCCAAUGGCACUGCCCGGUAGCUAAAUGCGGAAGAGAUAAGUGCUGAAAGCAUCUAAGCACGAAACUUGCCCCGAGAUGAGUUCUCCCUGAGACUUAGAGUCUCCUGAAGGAACGUUGAAGACGACGACGUUGAUAGGCCGGGUGUGUAAGCGCAGCGAUGCGUUGAGCUAACCGGUACUAAUGAACCGUGAGGCUUAACCUU